RNAcentral lists this ribosomal RNA (983 nucleotides) under Enterobacter bugandensis. RNAcentral describes it as "partial 23S ribosomal RNA". It matches the Rfam family "Bacterial large subunit ribosomal RNA", at positions 167 to 1191 of the family's 2925-position model. Lineage: Bacteria; Pseudomonadati; Pseudomonadota; Gammaproteobacteria; Enterobacterales; Enterobacteriaceae. The record is from RNAcentral.
UAGGUUAACGAGGCGAACCGGGGGAACUGAAACAUCUAAGUACCCCGAGGAAAAGAAAUCAACCGAGAUUCCCCCAGUAGCGGCGAGCGAACGGGGAGCAGCCCGGAGUCUGAAUCAGCUUGUGUGUUAGUGGAAGCGUCUGGAAAGUCGCACGGUACAGGGUGACAGUCCCGUACACGAAAAUGCACAGGUUGUGAACUCGAAGAGUAGGGCGGGACACGUGGUAUCCUGUCUGAAUAUGGGGGGACCAUCCUCCAAGGCUAAAUACUCCUGACUGACCGAUAGUGAACCAGUACCGUGAGGGAAAGGCGAAAAGAACCCCGGCGAGGGGAGUGAAAAAGAACCUGAAACCGUGUACGUACAAGCAGUGGGAGCACCUUCGUGGUGUGACUGCGUACCUUUUGUAUAAUGGGUCAGCGACUUAUAUUCUGUAGCAAGGUUAACCGUAUAGGGGAGCCGCAGGGAAACCGAGUCUUAACUGGGCGUUAAGUUGCAGGGUAUAGACCCGAAACCCGGUGAUCUAGCCAUGGGCAGGUUGAAGGUUGGGUAACACUAACUGGAGGACCGAACCGACUAAUGUUGAAAAAUUAGCGGAUGACCUGUGGCUGGGGGUGAAAGGCCAAUCAAACCGGGAGAUAGCUGGUUCUCCCCGAAAGCUAUUUAGGUAGCGCCUCGUGAACUCAUCUUCGGGGGUAGAGCACUGUUUCGGCUAGGGGGCCAUCCCGGCUUACCAACCCGAUGCAAACUACGAAUACCGAAGAAUGUUAUCACGGGAGACACACGGCGGGUGCUAACGUCCGUCGUGAAGAGGGAAACAACCCAGACCGCCAGCUAAGGUCCCAAAGUCAUGGUUAAGUGGGAAACGAUGUGGGAAGGCACAGACAGCCAGGAUGUUGGCUUAGAAGCAGCCAUCAUUUAAAGAAAGCGUAAUAGCUCACUGGUCGAGUCGGCCUGCGCGGAAGAUGUAACGGGGCUAAACCAUG